UGGGGAAUAUUGGGCAAUGGGGGGAACCCUGACCCAGCGACGCCGCGUGGGGGAAGACGGCCUUCGGGUUGUAAACCUCUUUUGUACGGGAAGAAGGAAGUGACGGUACUGUACGAAUAAGUCCCGGCUAACUACGUGCCAGCAGCCGCGGUAAUACGUACGGGACGAGCGUUGUCCGGAAUUACUGGGCGUAAAGGGCGCGCAGGCUGUGCUGCAAGUCCGCUGUUAAAUGUCUGGGCUUAACCCGGGCAUGCGGUUGAGACUGCAGUGCUAGAGUGCUGUAGAGGCAAGUGGAAUUCCAAGUGUAGCGGUGAAAUGCGUAGAUAAUGGGAAGAACACCGGUGGCGAAGGCGACAUGCUGGGCGGCAUCUGACGCUGAGGCGCGAAAGCCAGGGGAGCAAACGG
Molecule: ribosomal RNA, 405 nt
Filed under: uncultured bacterium
Lineage: Bacteria
Description: bacterial SSU rRNA
Rfam family: Bacterial small subunit ribosomal RNA
Source: RNAcentral